UUGAUAGAUAUUUGAUAUCUAUUAUAUAUUUUAUCUAUUUUUGUGGUUUCUUUGUCGUUUUCUUUAUUGAUUUUUAUUCAUUCUUGUUCUAUUAAUAGGUUACCAAAUUAUUGUUCUAUUUGAAGAAGAGAGUUUCCCAUCUCUUACUCGGGUACCUUCUCCAAGUUAUAAGGAACCAGAUGGAAGCCAUUGAAUUGUUAGUCUACCUUCCUCCAUUGGAGUCUGAGGCAUAGAUGGACCGAAAGGGGAAUCAUCUAGCUUUAGAUGGGGGAGGAGAGCACGACUUGUGCUAGAACUUCUUCAAGAAAUUUGACAAAUUUACGCUUCUCAACCUUACUCAUGGCUCUCGCGUCUUGAUGUUUCAAGAGUUUCUCGUGGAGGGUACGUAAGGCUAUCCCCAACUGAAUCUUUGACUGGGGGAGAGAUGAUUCCGUCAGGGAAUUUAAUGUAAAAAUUCGAAAAACAAACAGAUAACAUUAUUAUUAGAGGAAACGUUUCAAAUAAAAUAUUUAAAAUGAUAUAUUUUGUGAAAUAUUAAUUUAGAACGUUCAAUUAUUUUAAAUUAAAUGAAACACAUCUUAAGGUAGAUCAUAUCUCCAGGUUGUAUAUCUCAAUUUACUCCAAAUAAAUAUGUUAGAUUAAUAUCUCAUUUGAAGUUUACCCAAUUAAUAGAUGAGAGGUCGGAGAUCGAACGACAGGAUGAAAUUAGUGGAAUGUUUUAGAGAUUAAUUUUAUACCAUUUAAAUGAAAUAAAAGAGUACUUAUAGUAUUACAAUAUUUGUAAUUAAUUAAUUAAUUCUAAAGGAUUUUUAAUAUAAAAAUUCUAAUUGGAGAAGCGGUCUUCCGCUUCUCUCUCCGGCUCGGACCCGGUUCAUCACCGUUGGGUGAUUUUUGUUUACCGUGGUCUUCCCCCAAUUAAGUUAGGAUUUAGUUCGUCUUCUUCAACAACAACUCUUCUAAUCGUCGUGCUAUCUUCCUGGAUAGUGGAGCAGUCUAUCAGCAUCAUAUCAUCGUCGGCUUCUUCAGAUUCGGCAUUGUCUUCAAUGUUGAUAGGAGGGAAAAGACGCAACACAUCUUCAUGAAAUUCCCAAGACGAGUCCUCCGGUAUCGCUCCAUUCCAAGCGACCAGCCAUUGAUUUCUCUGUCUCGAUCUCACCCUGAAAAAUGGUACGCUUAUUAGAAUAAAUAACUUCUACUGUUUUUUUAGUUGAGUUUAAUAUUCUCAAAUACAAGUUUAUACAAUGAGUUAGCUGUUAGAGGUUAAUUAGUUUUAGAUACUCUUUCUUAUAAAUACUUUUGUAAGACUGCAUUCUUGGUUAAUGAAUUGAGUUCUUUCUUUUGAGAUUAUUGUUGAAUUGAACUUGAAACAAGCACCAAAAUCUUGGUACUCAAGACUGAGUGCAUUCCUAAUAUUAAAUGAAUUCUCUAACAGUCUGGCAGAUACAUUAUUGUUUCAAAAAAAAGAUAAUUUUUUAAUUUGAGUAAUUGUGUAUAUAUAUAGAUGACAUUAUAAUUUCAAGAAACAACAACAUUGAAAUUGAAGUUUUUAUUAAAAAUCUUUGUACUGCAUGAAUUUAGAUGUAGAGACCUAGGACUUUUGAAAUAUUUCUUUAGUAUAGAAAUUAGAUACAAUUUUGAUGGGUCACUUAACAUGACUCAAUCUAGAUAUGCAUUGAAUAUUUUAAGUAAAAACAACAUGCUAAAUUGUAAACUCAUAAGAACAUCAAUAUUGCAAAUUCCAAAUUGUCCAAAGAAAAUGGAGAAUUGUUAUAAGAUAUAGCAGCUUAUAGAGCCUUAGUUGGAUCCUUACAGUACAUACUUGGCACAAACAAGGCCCUGAUUUUAUUUAUGCAAUAAAUCAAGUGACUCAAUUUGUACAAGCUCCUAGAACUACUCACCUAGUAGCGGCCAAGAGAAUACUAAUGUAUAUAAAAUGAAUUUUAGAUCAUGGUCUUCAUUUUACCAAUACCAAAAGAACUGCCAUAAAUUGAUAGGUUUUUGUGAUGCUGAUCGAUUUUGCUGGUGAUCCAGACACCAGAAAAUCAACAACAGGCUAUUGUGUAUAUAUCGGAGGAAAUCUAGUGACAUGGUCAUCAAAGAAAUAGACAAUUAUUUCAAGAUCCAGUGCUAAGGCUCAAUAUAGAGCCUUAGCAAGUCAUACAACUGAAAUUAGAUGGACUCACUUCAUAUGUAAGGACCUUCUAUAUAAUUUACAUCAGAUACCUUUGUUAUAUACAGAUAACAGUUCAGCCAUUUUUAUGGCUAGAAACUGUUAAGUUUUGAUAUGUGUAUGAAAUAUAAUCCAAGUAUGGUUUAAUGAUUAAUCCAGAGUAAAGUAAAAUAGUGUUGAUGCAACGGAUAAUAUUGAUUGUUUAAUUUAUCUAAUGAGUAUGAUCAAGAUGUGUUGCAGGUAGAUAAUGUUUGACAGGGAUGAUAUAUAUAUGAUUUGUCCAAGUAGAUGCGGAGAUAUGUGUAUGCAUGCAAUAGAUAUCAGGUAUGAUAUAUAUAUGAAAUGUAAGCAGAUGAUUUAGCAAUACUGAGAUCGUUUGGAGAGCAAGGAGAUGACGAUGUAGGAGAGUCGAUGACUGAGUGUAGAGCAGAUCGGAGUGAAGCUGAUGAUGACUUUGAUCCACAGAUGAUGAUUAAUCCCAAAGGGAGUAUGAUUUUGAAACUUAGUAUCACAAACUGUAAAACAAUGUUAGGUUUGAGUUUGAUAUAUAUAGAUGGUUUAAAUGUUUGAUUCCAGCUUACAACGGUCAUAAGCUCAAGGUUCAACUGGCGCUUGUUGUCACUGUUGCUGAAGGCAAAGGUGACAUUAAGUGAUGGUUGGAGCUUCCUAGGAUUUUUACCAUAUUAAAGGUUUAGGUAUUAAAUUGAUCAUGUAAGGGUUUAAAUUAUAAAUUGGUUAAUGAGGGUUCAUAUUGUAAAUGUUGUAAAUGGAUUUAUGUAAUAAUUUUAUACGCCCCCUCAAAAGCGAGUUGGGCUGAAAAGAAACGAACUUUUGGACUGGUCCAUGUUCCAAUCUUUAAAUAUAAAAAGGGUUUUGUAAAUUUGAUUUUGGUUGUAAACACGAAUCGUCUUGUAGGGUUUCAGAGGGAAAUGAGGGUUUCACUGGAGGCAAGGGUUUGCUGGAGGCAAUCGUUCGGGUAUGUUUCUAGUCUUCUUCUUUUGUGCAUGUCGCUCUAUUCCUCUUGUUUAUGUUGUCUUUGGUUGGGUAUCCUUAUUCAUUUGUAUUCUUAAUGGGUUUUGUAGUGGGUGUUCUGUCUGUUAAUGUGUUUGCAUGUCAGUGUUUUCUUUCUUGGUGUUUGUUUUCCUUCAUCCAUUGUGUUUGUUUUCCUCUAUCAGUCUGUUCCGUGUAAGUUUUCCAUUUUCAGUUUCUUUUUGAGAUGAUUGAAUAGAUAUCCUGUAACAUCUUUUGUGAAGAUGUCUUCCACGUUUUCUUUGGUGUUUACCCUUUCUAUUUCAAUCUCUUUUUGUAAAGCUUUGUCUCUGAUCGUGUGUGUAUCGAUUUCUAUGUGUUUUGUUCUUAAUUUGAUGUAAGACUGGGUUUGUUGCAAUUGCAGUUGCAGAGGAACUAUUAAUUUGUAUAGAGUUUUGGAGUUACUAUAUUUACUUGCAUUUCCUUUAAUAGUUGUUUUAGCCAUGUGAUUUCACAAGUUGUGUGUGCUAAGGGUCGGUACUCUGCCUCUGCUGACGAUCUUGUUACUGUAUGUUGUUUUUUGGUUUGCCAUGAAACUAGGUUAUCAUUCAAGAAGAUGGCAAAUCCUGAUGUGGAUCGUCUGGUUGUGGGGAAAGAGGCCCAGUCAGAGUCUGAAAAUACUUUAAUCCUUGCGGUUCUUGUGCCUGAUGAGAAGAAAAGUCCACUUCCUGGUGAGUUUUUAAUGUAUCUUAAUAUUUUGUUCACCUUAGUAGAGUCUUCAUUUGUUGGUUCUGACAUGUGUUGGCUUAGUUGGUUUACUACAUAUGUUAUAUCGGGUUUGGUUACAGUUAGGUAGACAAGUUUUCCAACUAUGCAUCUGUACUCAGUAGGAUCAUCAAGUAAUUUAAUUUCCUUGUUCUGUUUGUUUGACGAUCUUGAUGGUGUAUAGAGUGGGUAUUCUCCUGGUUUAGCAUGUAGAUAGUUGUUUUGUUCAAGGAUUUCUAAUGCAUAUUUUCUUUGGCUUAUAAAAAUCCCAUGUUGUGUUGUUGUGAAUUCUAAUCCUAAGAAUUUUUUUAAUGUUCCUAGAUCUUUGAUGUUAAAAAAACUGGUUAAAUCUGUCUUAAGUUUGAUUAUUUCUUUUAAGUUAUUUCCUGUGAUUAAUAGAUCAUCUACAUAUGGUAGGAUGAAAAUUUUAUUUUUCCCAUUGAUCUUACCGAAGAGAGCAUAAUCCUCUCUUGUCUGUUUAAAACCUAAUUUGUUUAGUACUUGUUGUAGUUUGUUAAACCACAUUCUAGAUAUUUGUUUUAAGCUAUAUAGAGGUUUUGUUAAUUUGCAUGCUAGUUUGUGGUUGUCUGUUGGUUCUUUGUUGAUCCUUAGACCUUGGUGAGACAUGCCUGAUUACGACAGUCACUCCCAGCAACGCCUUUCAAUAAGGACUAGGGUUCCGUCACUUUACCCCCGGAAGGCUCCCACGGUGCGGAACAAGUUCAUCGUCAAAUCGCGAGUUAACCCGUAAAUCGCGAUUGGACUACCAAAUCGCCGAUUUUAUGGACAAAUCGUUGAGUUAGGGCCCAGAUCGGCAGUAUGGUAGACUGCAUAUCUCGCCCCUUGAAACUCGACGAGUUUACCCUAAUAGGCGAUUUUCAUACCUGAAUCGUCGAUUUACGACCGUUACUCGCCGCCAGCCAACGCCAUAAAUGAACCCAUAUAUGGCAAUAGGCCUCGAUAUCCUCCUUUGAUCGCGCCCUCCGAGACCCUAUAAAAAGGGUCCCAAGGGGACACUCAAAGGCACAACACAAGUUCCACUCUCACCAGAGCACCACUAAGAGAAUCGCCGAUUUCCACACCAGAAUCGCCGAUUCUCUCCUUUCAGGUAUUUGACGUAGAGCGCGCGUCGUGGACUCCAGAGCCUCCGGCAUCACCUCGCACUACCGCGAGCCUUGGUAGCAGAUUCAGUGCUUCAUCAGAAGGCAUUUUGAACAUCCAUCUGAUGGAGGUGCCAUCCUUGGUGAGACAUGCCUGAUUACGGCAGUCACUCCCAGCAACGCCUUUCAACAAGGACUAGGGUUCCGUCGCUUUGGCCGGACCCCCGGAGAGCUCCCACGGUGCGGAACACGUUAAUCGUCCAGAUCGCCGAGUUAGCCCGUAAGUCGCCCGAUUGGACUACCAAGUCUCCGACAUAAAGGAUAAGUCGCCGAUUUAAGGGCAAGAUCGGCAGUAUGGUAGACUGCACAUCUUGCCACUGGAAACUCGGCGAGUUAGCCCUAACUAGGCGACUUCCAUACCUGAAUCGCCGACUUACGAAAGUUACUCGCCACCAGCCAACGUCAAAAAUGUUACCAUAUAUGACCAAAGGCGCGAUGUCCGCCUUUGAUUGCGCCCUCCAAGACCCUAUAAAAAGGGUCCCAAGGGGACACUCAAAGGCAUGAUUCAAGUUCCUCUCUCACACCAGAGCAUCACUAAGAAACUCGUUGAUUCUCAUUAGAAUCGCCUAGUUUCUCCUUGCAGGUAUUUGACGUAGAGCGCGCGUCGUGGACUCCGGAGCCUCCGGCAUCACCUCGCACCACCGCGAGCCCUAGUAGCAGAUUCAGUGCUUCAUCAAAUGUUCUUCAGAAAAUCGAGAAUACAACUUGUACGUCACUGUUCUUUUAUUAUUUGGUUAUUUACAGUCUAUGGUUUUUAGUCCUUGAUAGAUAUUAGAUAUUUAAUAUUAUUUAUCUAAUAUAGGUUUUAUCUAUUUUUGUGGAUUUCUUUGUCGUUUUCUUUACAUGUCGAAUUUUAUUUAUUCUUGUUCUAUUAAUAGGUUAAUAAAUUCUUGUUCUAUUUGAAGAAGAGAGUUUCCCACCUCUUCCUCAGGUACGUACCUUCUCCAAGUUAUAACGGACCUGAUGGAGGUUAUUGAAUUCUUAAUCUACCCUCCUCCAUUAUAGUCUGGGGCAUAGAUGGGCAGGAAGGGGAAUCAUCUUUAGAUGGAGGUGAUCGCCACCACUAAGUCAGACUUUAUAACAUUCCGGUGAUGGAUAUACACUUCCGAUGUUAUAAAAUCAUAUUUAAAAAUCCAACCUUGUCUCUGAUACCAAAUGAUAGAAAUUAUCAUACUUUAUGAUCUAAGAUUUUUAUAUCAACAACCCAAUGAUCCAAGCCUGGAUUAACUUGAUAUCUUCCUAAGAGUCCAACCACAAAUGCAAUAUCUGGUCUAGUGCAUACCUGAGCAUACAUUAGACUUCCAUAAGGAAAUGCUUUCAUUUCAUUCUUCUGUAAGUCUGUUAGAGGACAUUGAGCUAAAUUCAAUUUAUCACAUUUUACAAUUGAAGCAACACUUGACUUACAUUCUGAGAGAUUAAACCUUUGUAAUAUACGAUCGAUGUAAGCUGAUUGAGAAAGACCUAACAAAUGUCUAGAUCGAUUUCUGUUGAUCUCAAUACCAAGAACAAAAGAUGCUUCACCCAAAUCUUUCAUAUCAAAUUCACUUGAUAAGAAUUUCUUUGUUUCAAAUAAUAUACUUAAAUCGUUGCAAGCAAGUAAUAUAUCAUCAACGUAUAGAACAAGCAAAACAUAUUUGCUCCCUCUGACCUUGUGAUAUAUACAUGGAUCCAUGAGAUUUUCCGAAAAACCAUAUGAAGAAAUGAUUUCAUGGAAUUUAAUAUGUCAUUGUCUUGAUGCUUGUUUAAGUCCAUAUAUAGACUUUUUAAGUCUACAAACAAGCUUGUCAUUUUCUUCAAAACCUUGUGGUUGCGUCAUAUAUAUUUCUUCAUUGAGAUUCCCAUUAAGAAAAGCGGUUUUAACAUCCAUUUGAUGUAGUUCUAGAUUGUAGUGAGCCACUAAAGCCAUAAUGAUUCUAAAAGAAUUCUUCGAGGAAACUGGUGAAAAUGUUUCAUGAUAUUCAAUUCUCUCUCUUUGAGUGAAUCCUUUGGCAACCAAUCUAGCCUUAAACCGCUAAAUCUUUCCUCUGGAAUCUCAUUUGGUUUUAAAAGCCCAUUUGCAACUCACAACUUUAACACCCUCAGGUAACUGAAUAAGUUCUCAUUCUUUAUUAUGGUACAUAGACUGCAUCUCAUCUUUCAUUUCAUCUUGCCACAAAUUAAUCACAUUGUGCACUUGCAACCGCUUGAUCAUAUGAGAUAGGGUCAACUGUACUACUACAACCAAUGUCAUAGUCGUAUUCUCCUAAAUAAACUUCAUAAUCAUUAGGGAUAGCUGAUCUUCUUUCUCGAGUAGUCCUCCUUGGUUCAAUAACUAGUGGAUCUACUGGUGUAAUAAUUGGUUCAUCAACUUGAGCAAUAACUGGUGUGUCAACGGAUGUCACUGAAGAUGUGGUUGGUUUAAUCGAAAAUAAGGGUAUAACUACUGUUAAUGGUUGAUGGUCCAAUGAAUUAGAAACCUCUGAAGUAUUAACAUCUGCUACAUCAUUUUCUAAGAAUUUUGCUGUUCGAGAAUCUACAAUUAUUGUUCCACCAUGAGGUCUAUAAAAUCGAUAUACCUUAUAAUGAUUCGGAUAUCCCACAAAAUAGCAUGUCACUGUUCUUGAAUCUAACUUGUUUAAUGUUGGAUUGUAUAAUUUCACCCCUACAGGAUAACCCCAAAUCUUCAAAUGAUUUAAACUAGGUUUUCUACCUGUCCAAAGUUCAAAAGGUGUAACUGGUACUGACUUACUUGGGACUCGAUCAAAAUAUACAAUGCUGCUUGUAUUGCUUCACCCCACAAGAAUGUUGUUAAAUUUGCUCUACUAGUCAUGCUUCUCACCAUAUCCAUUAGGGUACGAUUUCUUCUUUCUGCCGCUCCAUUCUGCUCAGGAGUUCCUGACAUAGUGUAUUGCCCAAUUAUUCCAGAUUCUUCCAAAUAUUAUGCAAAAGGACCUUUAAGUUGUCCAACAUCUCCAUGUUUACCGUAAUAUUCUACACCUCUAUCUAUCUGAUCUAACAAUCUUUAUAGAUUUUUCCAAUUGUUUCUCAACUUCUGUUUUGAAUACUUUAAAUUUCUCUAAAGAUUCAUAUUUUUCUUUGAUAAGAAACAAAUAGCCAUAUUUAGAAAAAUCAUCUAUAAAUGUUAUAAAAUAUAAGCAUCCACACAGAGUUUUAUGAUAUGGUCCACUAAUAUCCGUAUAAAUAAUCUCCAAAAGACUAGUGUUACGAGUAGCAGUCUUUUUGCCUUUCUUGGUCAUUUUCCUCUUAAGACAAUCAAUACAUUCUGCAUUGUCAUUAUCUAAAGAAGGAAGAAUGGUCGAUUUAACCAAUCUUUUAAUUCUAUCUUGUGAAAUAUGAUCUAACCUUUUAUGCCAUAACGUAUAUGAUUUUUCUUUAUUUAAGGGUCUUUUGGAAACUGUAUUUUCCACAUUACAAGCUAUAUAGAACUUCAUAGAAUCAAGACAUAAUCUGUAUAGGUCAUAAGACAAAACACAAUUACCCAUAAUCUUUGAGUUAUGAAACAUUGAAACUGUAUUGUUCUUAAAUUCAAAAGAAAAACCAUGUUUUCUUAAUUUACUAACAGAAAUUAGAUUCCGUCUAAACGACGGAGCAUACAAAGUGUCUUUCAAUGUUAAACCAAAUCCUGAAUCUAGAUUUAAAAUAACAUCGCCCACAAAUUCUAAAUCAGUUUGUCCAUCAUUUCCUACUAACAAUCUUGAUUCAUCCUGAUUUGGCUUCCUUCUAUUUGUGAAUCCCUGUAUGGUGAAUGCAACAUGAUUAGUUGCUCCACUAUCCAACAACCAAGAACUAGAUGAAGAUUCUAUUAAAUUAGAUUCAUAAACUAAUGUCAAAGAAUCAAUACCUUUUUGUUCCUGUUUUAUGAGCCAAGAUUUAAACUUUAAGCAAUUCUACUUUAUGUGUCCCGGUUUCAUACAGAAGAAACAUCCAUUGAUUGCUUUCUUGAGGGAGUUCUUGUUAGAACCAAAUUUGUCAGAUAAGUUGGUAUCCUUAGAAUCUUUAUUUUUCACAAACAUUUUGAACUUAAAUCCUUUCUUAUUUGAACUAUACAUUGUUAUCGAAGAUUUUUCGCCUUUUAUUUUAUCUCCUAUGUCUCCAAAUAAUUAUUUCUUUUAAUUCGAGCCCAGCUCGCGGGUUCGAGCCCGGGCCCAAACCUAACAAUUCUUAAAACGAGCCGAGCCCGAGCCUGGCUCUAUAAGCAAAAGCUCAACUUGUUUGACACCCUAAUCUCUGAUAAAUAUUCCGAGAAUAUUUUGCCACUUAUCUUCAAAUUCUGAAGUUUUUUGGCGUAGACUCAUCACAUACGAUCGAGAAUUAGAUGCAAAUUGCAUUUGAAGUGUUUCCCAUACCUCAUGUGCCGUAGCACAAUCAGAGACUUCCGACAGUACCGAGGGUGAAAUUGAUGAAAAUAGCCAUCCUAAAAUCAAUUGAUCUUGCUUGAUGGCAAGAGAGUUGUCCAAUUUUUCCCUACCGGCCAGAUAGUCCAUCAGCUCAUGACCUCGGAUAUUAGCCCCAAAUUGGGCUCUCCACGCGAAGUAAUUGCUGCGGUCUAGGGCUACAGUCUUGAAGUUCUUGGCGGUCACCUUUCCUGGUGCGUCGUUGCCAUAGAGCUUCUUUGCAGCCAGCGAAAUCCCUUUGUCAGCUUCGUCAAUCGACAUUGCGUAUCGGAAAAAAAUUGUGAUCGUCAACGAUCUUGGAGCGAUUCCGAUGAUCAGAGAUGUGCGGCUUCCCAAGAUCAGCUAGGCGAAAGGUACCAUAACAGUGAAUUGAAAUAUAUGAAUGGGGAAAGCCAAACUCGAUCCCUUUCAUAUUCAAUAGAAAGAUCUAUUUAUACAAUUUGUUACUCUAAUAUCCUAUUUGUUUGUUCUUUUGUAUUAUCGAUAUUUAUUGUCUAUUUUUUAUAAUGUUCUUGUCUAUUUUUAUAUUUACAGUCUAUGGUUUUUAGUCCUUGAUACUUGAUAGAUAUUUGAUAUCUAUUAUAUAUUUUAUCUAUUUUUAUGGUUUCUUUGUCGUUUUCUUUAUUCAUUUUUAUUCAUUCUUGUUCUAUUAAUAGGUUACCAAAUUCUUGUUCUAUUUGAAGAAGAGAGUUUCCCAUCUCUUACUCGGGUACCUUCUCCAAGUUAUAAGGAACCAGAUGGAGGCCAUUGAAUUGUUAGUCUACCUUCCUCCAUUGGAGUCUGAGGCAUAGAUGGACCGAAAGGAGAAUCAUCUAGCUUUAGAUGGUGGAGGAGAGCACGACUUGUGCUAGAACUUGUUCAAGAAAUUUGACAAAUUUACGCUUCUCAACCUUACUCAUGGCUCUCGCGUCUUGAUGUUUCAAGAGUUGUUCGUGGAGGGUACGUAAGGCUAUCCCCAAUUGAAUCUUUGACUGGGGGAGAGAUGAUUCCGUCAGGGAAUUUAAUGUAAAAAUUCGAAAAACAAACAGAUAACAUUAUUAUUAGAGGAAAUGUUUCAAAUAAAAUAUUUAAAAUGAUAUAUUUUGUGAAAUAUUAAUUUAGAACGUUCAUUUAUUUUAAAUUAAAUGAAACACAUAUUAAGGUAGAUCAUAUCUCGAGGUUGUAUAUCUCAAUUUACUCCAAAUAAAUAUGUUAGAUUAAUAUCUCAUUUGAAGUUUACCCUAUUAAUAGAUGAGAGAUCGGAGAUCGAACGACAGGAUGGAAUUAGUGGAAUGUUUUAGAGAUUAAUUUUAUACCAUUUAAAUGAAAUAAAAGAGUACUUAUACUAUUACAAUAUUUGUAAUUAAUUAAUUCUAAAGGAUUUUUAAUAUAAAAAUUCUAAUUGAAGCAGCGGUCUUCCGCUUCUCUCUCCGGCUCGGACCCGGUUCAUCACCGUUGGGUGAUUUUUUUUUACCGUGGUCUUCCCCCAAUUAAGUUAGGAUUUAGGUCGUCUUCUUCAACAACAACUCUUCUAAUCGUCAUGCUAUCUUCCUGGAUAGUGGAGCAGUCUAUCAGCAUCAUAUCAUCGUCGGCUUCUUCAGAUUCGGCAUUGUCUUCAAUGUUGAUAGGAGGGAAAAGACGCAACACAUCUUCAUGAAAUUCCCAAGACGAGUCCUCCGGUAUCGCUCCAUUCCAAGCGACCAGCCAUUGAUUUCUCUGUCUCGAUCUCACCCUGAAAAAUGGUACGUUUAUUAGAAUAAAUAACUUCUACUGUUUUGUUAGUUGAGUUUAAUAUUCUCAAAUACAAGUUUAUACAAUGAGUUAGUUGUUAGAGGUUAAUUAGUUUUAGAUACUCUUUCUUAUAAAUACUUUUGUAAGACUGUAUUCUUGGUUAAUGAAUUGAGUUCUUUCUUUUGAGAUUAUUGUUGAAUUGAGCUUGAAACAAGCACCAAAAUCUUGGUACUCAAGACUGAGUGCAUUCCUAAUAUUAAAUGAAUUCUCUAACAGUCUGGCAGAUACAUUAUUGUUUCAAAAAAAAGAUAAUAUUUUAAUUUGAGUAAUUGUGUAUAUAUAUAGAUGACAUUAUAAUUUCAAGAAACAACAACAUUGAAAUUGAAGUUUUUAUUAAAAAUCUUUGUACUGCAUGAAUUUAGAUGUAGAGACCUAGGACUUUUGAAAUAUUUCUUUAGUAUAGAAAUUAGAUACAAUUUUGAUGGGUCACUUAACAUGACUCAAUCUAGAUAUGCAUUGCUUAUUUUAAGUAAAAACAACAUGCUAAAUUGUAAACUCAUAAGAACAUUAAUAUUGCCAAAUUCCAAAUUGUCCAAAGAAAAUGGAGAAUUGUCCAAAGAAAUUAAGAUGACACCAGAAAAUCAACAACAAGCUAUUGUGUAUAUAUCGGAGGAAAUCUAGUGACAUGGUCAUCAAAGAAAUAGACAACUAUUUCAAGAUCCAGUGCUGAGGCUCAAUAUAUAGCCUUAGCAAGUCAUACAACUGAAAUUAGAUGGACUCACUUCAUAUGUAAGGACCUUCUACAUAAUUUACAUCAGAAACCUUUGUUAUAUACAGAUAACAGUUCAGCCAUUUUUAUGGCUAGAAACUGUUAAGUUUUGAUAGGUGUAUGAAAUAUAAUCCAAGUAUGGUUUAAUGAUUAAUCCAGAGUAAAGCAAAAUAGUGUUGAUACAGCGGAUAGUAUUGAUUGUUUAAUUUAUCUAAUGAGUAUGAUCAAGAUGUGUUGCAGGUAGAUAAUGUUUGACAGGGAUGAUAUAUAUAUGAUUUGUCCAAGUAGAUGCGGAGAUAUGUGUAUGCAUGCAAUAGAUAUCAGGUAUGAUAUAUAUAUAUGCAGGUGAUUUAGCAAUACUGAGAUCGUUUGGAGAGCGAGGAGAUGACGAUGUAGGAGAGUCGAUGACUGAGUGUAGAGCAGAUCGGAGUGAAGCUGAUGAUGACUUUGAUCCACAGAUGAUGAUUAAUCCCAAAGGGAGUAUGAUUUUGAAACUUAGUAUCACAAACUGUAAAACAAUGUUAGGUUUGAAUUUGAUAUAUAUAGAUGGUUUAAAUGUUUGAUUCCAGCUUAUAACGGUCAUAAGCUCAAGGUUCAACUGGCGCUUGUUGUCAAUGUUGCUGAAGGCAAAGGUGGCAUCAAGUGAUGGUUGGACCUUCCUAGGAUUUCUAUCAUAUUGAAGGUUUAGGUAUUAAAUUGAUCAUGUAAGGGUUUAGAUUAUAAAUUGGUUAAUGAGGGUUCAUAUUGUAAAUGUUGUAAAUGGAUUUAUGUAAUAAUUUUAUACGCCCCCUCAAAAGCGAGUUGGGCUGAAAAGAAACGAACUUUUGGACUGGUCCAUGUUCCAAUCUUUAAAUAUAAAAAGGGUUUUGUAAAUUUGAUUUUGAUUAUAAACACGAAUCGUCCUGUAGGGUUUCAGCGGGAAAUGAGGGUUUCACUGGAAGCAAGGGUUUGCUGGAGGCAAUCGUUCGGGUAUGUUUCUAGUCUUCUUCUUUUGUGCAUGUCGCUCUAUUCCUCUUGUUUAUGUUGUCUUUGGUUGGGUAUCCUUAUUCAUUUGUAUUCUUAAUGGGUUUUGUAGUGGGUGUUCUGUCUGUUAAUGUGUUUGCAUGUCAGUGUUUUCUUUCUUGGUGUUUGUUUUCCUUCAUCCAUUGUGUUUGUUUUCCUCUAUCAGUCUGUUCUGUGUAAGUUUUCCAUUUUCAGUUUCUUUUUGAGAUGAUUGAAUAGAUAUCCUGUAACAUCUUUUGUGAAGAUGUCUUCCACGUUUUCUUUGGUGUUUACCCUUUCUAUUUCAAUCUCUUUUUGCAAAGCUUUGUCUCUGAUCGUGUGUGUAUCGAUUUCUAUGUGUUUUGUUCUUAAUUUGAUGUAAGACUGGGUUUGUUGCGAUUGCAGUUGCAGAGGAACUAUUAAUUUGUAUAGAGUUUUGGAGUUACUAUAUUUACUUGCAUUUCCUUUAAUAGUUGUUUUAGCCAUGUGAUUUCACAAGUUGUGUGUGCUAAGGGUCGGUACUCUGCCUCUGCUGACGAUCUUGUUACUGUAUGUUGUUUUUUGGUUUGCCAUGAAACUAGGUUAUCAUUCAAGAAGAUGGCAAAUCCUGAUGUGGAUCGUCUGGUUGUGGGGAAAGAGGCCCAGUCAGAGUCUGAAAAUACUUUAAUCCUUGCGGUUCUUGUGCCUGAUGAGAAGAAAAGUCCACUUGCUGGUGAGUUUUUAAUGUAUCUUAAUAUUUUGUUCAACUUAGUAGAGUCUUCAUUUGUUGGUUCUGACAUGUGUUGGCUUAGUUGGUUUACUACAUAUGUUAUAUCGGGUUUGGUUACAGUUAGGUAGACAAGUUUUCCAACUAUGCAUUUGUACUCAGUAGGAUCAUCAAGUAAUUUAAUUUCCUUGUUCUGUUUGUUUGACGAUCUUGAUGGUGUAUAGAGUGGGUAUUCUCCUGGUUUAGCAUGUAGAUAGUUGUUUUGUUCAAGGAUUUCUAAUGCAUAUUUUCUUUGGGUAAUAAAAAUCCCAUGUUGUGUUGUUGUGAAUUCUAAUCCUAAGAAUUUUUUUAAUGUUCCUAGAUCUUUGAUGUUAAAAAAACUGGUUAAAUCUGUCUUAAGUUUGAUUAUUUCUUUUAAGUUAUUUCCUGUGAUUAAUAGAUCAUCUACAUAUGGUAAGAUGAAAAUUUUAUUUUUCCCAUUGAUCUUACUGAAGAGUGCAUAAUCCUCUCUUGUCUGUUUAAAACCUAAUUUGUUUAGUACUUGUUGUAGUUUGUUAAACCACAUUCUAGAUGCCGAUCCAGAGGCUCAAUCGCCGACUCCCCAUGAGCCUAGUGGCAGUCUACCAGAACUGUCCACGAAGCCUAGAGUCAGCGAUUCACCCCUGAAGUCGGCGACUUGGUAGUCCCAGUCGGCGACUCCCAGGUGCUGCCUUGAGUACUUGACGUAGACACUCCUUCCAAAUUCGUGGAACUCUUCGAGGGUCCGGCAUAAGGCGACGGAACCCUAGUCCUUGUCGAAGGGCGUUGCUGGGAGUGGCUGACGUGAUCAGGCAUGUCUCACCAGUACUCCCCCCUGAAGAGAGCAUGGCAAAACACCUGUGUACCGCCAGUAUCCCCCCCAAGCAAGGUGAUCUGCAUCAAGGCGAGUAGCGACAAGAUGGGAUUGAGUCAUUGCGCUCACAGCGACACUAAUGGCUCCGCAUGGUCCAUGCACUAUCAGAUGGACUGAUUCACUAUCAGAAUCUAGUUCCAGGCCAAUGGAACUACAUGUUUAUAGUCCUACUCUGAUCAAGAGCGACUUUUGCUGUGUGGAUUCUGGCCGAAGCGACAAAAUGCAUGGAUUCACUAUUAGAAUCUGAUUCUGGCCGAAGCGACAGAAUGCGUGGAUUCACUAUUAGAAUCUGAUUCUGGCCGAAGCAACAGAAUGCGUGGAUUCGUUAUCCGAAUCGGGUUCUGGCCGAAGCGACAAAUCGCGUGGAUUCAUUAUUAGAAUAUGAUUCUGGCCGAAGCGCGAGAAUGCGUGGAUUCGUUAUCCGAAUCGGGUUCUGGCCGAAGCGACAAAUCGCGUGGAUUCAUUAUUAGAAUCUGAUUCUGGCCGAAGCCCGAGAAUCUAGUUCACUAUCAGAACUGAUGUUUAUAGUCUACCCUGAUCAAGAGCGACUUGGUGUCCGCAACGACGGUUACCCCAUAGGCCGAAGCGCAAGAUGGGUCGAGAUCAUUAAGGUCAAAGCGACAAAAUGAUCUCCAAAUGUUCGAAGGACUAUUGAAGCCAAAGUGACAACAUAAUUCUUGCCGAAGCGACAGAAUCAUGCCUGCAAAACAAAAAACAACCUGCAAAACAACUAUAUCAGUCUAAAGGAUAUAUUUAUUGAUUUACUGACCUUGCCGUGCGGAGCAGCCUCUCAUGCUGCUCCUCCUUAUGCUCAAUAAAUCCUUGAUUGAUCUGUCCGAAGCGACAGAUCUUUCAUGCUAAAAAAUGUGACAGCUUCUGGCCGAAGCGACAGAAGUGCCGACUCACUAUUAGAGUCUGAUUCUGACCAAGGCUACAGAUCCACNNNNNNNNNNNNNNNNNNNNNNNNNNNNNNNNNNNNNNNNNNNNNNNNNNNNNNNNNNNNNNNNNNNNNNNNNNNNNNNNNNNNNNNNNNNNNNNNNNNNNNNNNNNNNNNNNNNNNNNNNNNNNNNNNNNNNNNNNNNNNNNNNNNNNNNNNNNNNNNNNNNNNNNNNNNNNNNNNNNNNNNNNNNNNNNNNNNNNNNNNNNNNNNNNNNNNNNNNNNNNNNNNNNNNNNNNNNNNNNNNNNNNNNNNNNNNNNNNNNNNNNNNNNNNNNNNNNNNNNNNNNNNNNNNNNNNNNNNNNNNNNNNNNNNNNNNNNNNNNNNNNNNNNNNNNNNNNNNNNNNNNNNNNNNUAUUAGAACCUUUCCUGCAAAAAAGAAAACAUCCUGCAAAAUAACUAGAUCAGUUCGAAAACGCAUAUAUUUAUUAUUGAACUUACCGUGUGAUCUACCUUUCGUGAUGUCCCUCCUUUGCUCAAAUUUGUCCUCGGUAAAUCUGGCCGAAGCGACAGAUUUUACCGUGCUCAAUUUCUUUGACGACUUCUGGCCGGAGCGACAGAAGUGUCGGGAGAGCUUGUGAUACUCCCCCCUGAAAUGUGACGACUUCCAUCCUAUAGACAGAAGUGCCGGGAGAGCUUGUGAUACUCCCCCUCGAAAUGUGACGACUUCUAUCUAAAUAGACAGAAGUGCCGGGAGAGCUUGUGAUACUCCCCCUCGAAAUGUGACGACUUCCAUCCUAUAGACAGAAGUGUCGGGAGAGCUUGUGAUACUCCCCCCUGAAAUGUGACGACUUCCAUCCUAUAGACAGAAGUAUCGGGAGAGCUUGUGAUACUCCCCCUCGAAAUGUGACGACUUCCAUCCUAUAGACAGAAGUGUCGGGAGAGUUUGUGACACUCCCCCUCGCGAAUUGUGCCCUUGUGACACAAAAACAUUUGCGACGAGUGUUUUUCGAAGUAUGUGACUGUCGGUGAACUAUCUAUUGUUUUUCCUUUGCUAAUCUUUCAUAUAAAUUACCCUUCAAAUUGUAACUAAGGCCCGAAACUAGAUUCACAAGUCGUAAUUUAGCCACUCUGGACGUAAAUUAGACUCUGCUAACCCUAUUGCUAGCCACUCUGGGCAUAGACUUGGUCGUACGAAUCGUAGCUCAGUCUACGGUUAAAUUUAUGGACAAUUUAUACCUCUAGACUAGCGUCGGAUUACUAGAGAUAGAGUAAACGACGAAUCAGAGAUAUUCGACACUCAAAGGUUGCCUUAAAAUUCGGAACCUUAACGAUGGAGAGAGCUUGUGAUACUCCCUCCUGAAAUAUGAUGACUUCUGGCCGAAGCGACAGAAGUGUCGGGAGAGUUUGUGAUACUCCCCCCUUGAAAUUUGACAACUUCUGGUCGAAGUGACAGAAGUGUCGGGAGAGUUUGUGAUACUCCCCCCUGAAGACUUGCACUUGGGGCAGUUUUAGUGUUAUUUUACCCGGAAUCGGCAACAAGAGUUUGUGAUACUCCUACAGUCGGCGAUACCUAUGGUUUGGGUAACUGUAGAGGGUAUUUUUGUUUUUUACCCCUGCGAGUCGGCGACUCCCUCUGUGAGUCGGCGACUCCUAGUGUAACCGCCGGAUCUUUUUGGGAGAUCCUUGGGAUAUUGGGAAGAUAUACGGGGAUUAUUUGUAAAAUCUCCAAAUAAGGAAAUUUUUCUCACAGUGCUGUGAGUUUUUGCCCGGAGUCGACGACUGCCCUGUGGAGUCGGCGACUUGGCGUGAUUCGGGGGAUUUGGAGAUCGAUUCUUGAUCUCAAAUUUUGUAAAUUUUGGGUUUUCUAGGGGGUUUUUGCAAUUUUCCCAAGGGCUAUAAAUAGUGGAGAGGUUUUCCCCAAACCCUCACAACACUUUUGCCACUCUUAAAUCGCCCACACCUCCAGAUUUUUGAAUCGUCGAUUCUUCAGUUUUAAAACUUCGAAUCGCAGAUUCCCCCAAUGUCUACCCCCGAUUCCCCUUUGUCUCCAUUGAAGGAAAACGAAACGUCAGCUUUCAUAGCUGAGAUGAUUGUGGACAACCUUGAUGAGGUGUUGAACACCGUUGAAUCGCCGAUUCCCUCUCCUGACAGAGAGGUUGAGCCGGCGAUUCCGGUCGUGCCACCUCAUGGAAUGGAGUUGAGUGCCACCGUGCACGAACUACUUGGCGCCUCGCCAGUGUCGGCGACUCCCCUUGUGGAGUCGGCGACUCAGUGCAGGGCCCUUGUAGUCGUACGGGAGCCUCUUGAGCUGGGGGAAAUUCCCGUGGCCUCUGUGUCGGCGACUCCCAUUGUGGAGUUGGCGACUCACGCAGGUCCUGUUAAAGGGAAAUCCUUCAAGCGAAGGGGGCAGGGCUCAGCUGCCAUUGGGUCGGCGACUGCUGGCCAUGCCUCGCCGAUUCCUAUCAUUGAAUCGGCGACUCGUGUGCUGGAGUCGGCGACUCCUAUGCUUAUUGAUGAUUCUUCCGCGCGUCGCACCGUACCAUUGGUCAUGAGCGCGGAAGGCCGAAUCGUGUCGGGACUGAACCCGAACCAAGGUCCUUCUCUGAAGAGAAAGAGAAGGCGCACCACUGGGAAGGGCAAAGUACGCGUGCCCGAAGAGAACGAAGGGGUCCCUCCUCCAUUGAAUAUAAACUUCGAGGAGACCUUGACUGUGGACCGUGGUGCUCAAAAUCCAUGACGUAGAGCGGGCCGGCGCUCUGAGAGAACUCCGCCACCUCCCGUGGAUCUGAACGCUAGUCGAGACCCGGACCUCGACUUGAACACGUACGUUGGAGCUUUGAACCCCUCUGGGUUCGCUCACUGUGAAAUCGCCGCGAAUGGCAUACCAAGGUUGCUUCCUAUCGACCGUUUUGGGGACGGCGAUUAUGAACAAGUGAUGACUCAUGCAACCUUGGAUGGGUCCGAUGGAGUGAAUCCCCCCUCCAAUUUGAAUGCGAGCGACGCUCGAUCACUGCUGUCGGGGAUUCAGAUAUCUGGUCAUCUGCGAUUCUGGAUGUCGCGAUACCAGCCGAUUAAUCUGCCAUCCCCGGGAUUCUAGGCUAUCCCGAGGAUCUACUUCAAGCACUUCUCCGAGCUGCCAAUUCCGGAGAUCAUCAGUGAAGUGCUCUUGAGAUUUGAAGUGUCCCUGUCGCAGCUCCCUGCGGGAUUCUUUGUGAUCCUGCGUGGUUUCAUGAACAUCUGCUGGGGGCUCAAUGUUGCUGCGACGGCGAGCUUGUUUCUGUACUUCUACAAGCUCACCAGAGAGAAGUCUGCAUCCGGUCGCUUUGGAUUCACGCGGCGACACUUUGACAAAAAUAUCGUCGACGAGCUCCCGACGAACUUCGGAUGCAACUGGAGAAAAGAGUUUAUCUUCAUAACUUCUGAAUUUCUUCCCGGGAGUCGGGAAAUGUGGAAUGACCCUAAUCGAGUGCAUAUGAACGCCUCGAUCGAGCUGAGUACGAGGGAUAUUGAGGUCUCGGAUCGGAUAGCGCGUACGCUUACUGCAUACUCUGUGCCGCGCGGUGUUCCCUUUGUCCUUUGCCAAAGGGAAGACUUUACAUUUGAUGAUAUUGAGGAAGCUCGUGAGCCACCCACUGAGAAAGAGCUGGAAGGUGGACAAAAACGAUCGAUCCUAUACCACGACGCUGCACCUCUUUAUAUGCGCAAGAGGUUCCGAGAGGGCAAGCUGAUCAGAUUGCGAAAGAAGAAGACCUCUCGCAGCGAGCCUCGCCGGACCUUUGAGCAUGGGUCGAGCUCUCGCUCUGCACCACCACCUCCCAGGGGCUAUGUGCCUUACACUUCUGCUGGAGUGACACUUCCCGACUUCAUGGCUGAUGCUGAAACUCGAAGGGAAGCGAUGUCACUCCUUUUGGGUCAUCCUGGGACCUGGUGCCGGAGCGAGCUCUUAAAGCAUUUGAAUGCCGCAUGCUAUAUGGCACAUGCUUGUUAUCAUGGAGACUCUAUCCAUGACGUCGAGAAGAUACAAGAAAAAUACAACCAACUCGACGCGAAGUUCAAAGAGAGCGAGAAGGCUCUCGAUAAGCUGAAGAAUAUGAGGUCCAGGAUGGAGAACCUCCGUGACAAUAUUCUGCCGAAGAAGGACAAGACCAUUGAGUCCAAGCAGAAAGAAAUAGAUGAGUAUGUCACGAAGAUCUUGGCGCUUCGCAAAGAUCUGAAAGUUGCUAGUUCUGGCAGCACUAAAGACAUUGAAGAUCUAAAGAGCCAACUAGCUAAUGAGAAAGGGUACGUGGCCUCGCUUGAGGCUACGGUAGCGGAGUUGAAGAAGCAAGCUGCUCAGAGCCAACGAGAAACCACUGAGCUGAAAAGCGAGCUUGCAAGUGCGGAAGAAGAGGUUCUGACUCUGAAAGAUGACAAUGCCGCACUUGCUGGGAGAGCUGCUGGGUUGGAUUUGGAUGUACGUUACCAAUCCGACCAGCUUCAAGAGCUCAUAUUCUUUGGUCCUUCCGUGUAUCCUGCUCUACCCCCCGACUACAUCACGGACAUAAUGGCGUGGGUAGAGCAACAUCCUGAAGAGCUCGAGAAAAAUAAAGAAGCUCUCGACAAGAUGAAGGACGAAGCCGCGCGAGAAUAGAUUUUCUAAGUCCUUUUAUUUUGUAACCUUUUUGUACUCGUUAUCUUUUUGUAAAUCUGAAAAUUUUUAAUGAAAUUAAUCGCUUUUGCUUUUCUAUUCAAUUGUUCAUUUACUUUAUUCUUUUGAAUUGUAACUAAGACCCGAAACUAGAUUCGCGAGUCGUAAUUUAGCCGCUCUGGACGUAAAUUAGACUAACCCUAUCGCUAGCCACUCUAGGCGUAGACUUGGUCGUACGAAUCGUAGCUCAGUCUACGGUUAAAUUCGCGAAAAUAAACUAAACUUUACAACUAAUAGUAAGUCGCAAUAUCGAUUAACAAAUUCGAAAGAUAACAAAUAUGUCGAAAGAUAACUAUCAAUCCUAAGACUCUAGAGUUGUAGUUUUGCUCCAGCCAAGGUGACGGAGCAACUUUUUGUCCCAUACCAAAGAUGUAACAAUGAGAUGGGGUGAAAAUUUAAAAACGUUUACUAAUCUAUUAAGGCCGUAGCGACAUGAUAGAUUUUGAUUUGUGGUGGGUACUUAGAACCUCUUGUGGUUGGGUUCACUUGUCCCUAUCAACUACCUAGGACUCUGCUUUUAGACCCUAAUGCGUGGUUGAACUCUGGCCAUGAUGACAGAGCAACUUUUUGGACCCAUAUCUGGGCUGAAGUGAUCAUAAUGUGUUUAAAGAUAAUUUUGAUCUAUUAAGGCAAUAGCGACAAAAUAGAUUCAUAAAGUGGGGUGCUAGCUAGAGUCGUAGGUAGAUGAUAAAUCUAAAUUUUAUUAAAAGAUGUAAAUUACAACAGUAAGAUUUGUAAUUUUUAAACUAACACAUAGACUAAGAGGCUCUAACGUGCUUAAUACUAAGUGCGAUGUUGCUGUACGUUGUCCGUGUGCCAGAUGCAAGGACUUUUGGGUGACAGCUUAUUCCUAUUCCUCUUAGUUAUGCUAGCCUUUCUGUUGGUCUACCACCAGAUAGCAUAUGGAUGGUUUUCCGUGGGUGAUCUUCCCUAUUGUCACUGUCUGGUGAAGGAGAGCGUGGGCGCUUCCCAUUCACGUCAGACUUGCAAUUGUUUCGAUCCCGGGAUCCUUUGACCAGGCUGUCAAGUUCGCCGUUCGAAAUUAAUUGCUCGACAUAAAGCGAGAAUUCCCUGCAAUAGUCUGUCAGAUGGUCGUGGUCCUUGUGGAAUUCACAGAAUUUUCCACUUUUCUGGCGGCGAUCCUUGGUUGCAGGGUUCAUAGAGCGAGGAGCGGGCAGAUCCGCUCUGUUCUUCAGUUUUUCAAACAGCUCGCCUUUGCUGAUUGUUAGUGGGGUCCGGUUCCUCCAAGGUUGAGGUGGACCCCUUGGCGAUCGUUUGACGGAUAUUUGAUACACUUUGUUAUCAUGUUUAGGCUUCCAAUCCUUUCUGAAGGAAUCAGCCGCAUUGCUAGUGUAUCUGUUCGAGGAGUCAUUGUAGCUCUUUCUCUCGAACUUUUGUUUUUUGAAGCUAGUGUUCUCGAGUUCCACUAGCUUGUUUUCAUUCUGCUCUUCCACCUCAAUGAAUGACUGAGCUCGUUGGAAGAGGUCGGGUAAGGUCUCCACUUUGUGGAGUGUGAGAUUCAGGGCCAGAGGGGAGUAGGGUACCAGCACGUUUGUAUACCCCGCAAUGGCCAAACUUGGGAUUAAGUCGCUCACUUCUGUCAUCAUUGAAGUGAACUUAAACGUGUAAUCCCUUAGAGACAGUUUGUCCUGUCGUAGCGCCAAUAGUGCAUUGACGCUGUGUUUGAUCCUGAUCAUCCCCACAUGCUGGGCGAUGAAUUUGGAUGCGAGGUCUGCAAAGCAGGAAAUUGAUCCGGCUGGCAGACCAGAAAACCAUCGAUAGGCAUUGCCCUUAAGAGUGCCGGGGAAUGCUCGACACAGCAGUGCGUUAUCAGUGGUUUGCGGUUCCAGAACGCUGAGGUAGAGGUUGACGUGAUCUUGUGGAUCACUCGAACCAUCGUACGAUUCUAUUCUGGGUACCCGCCAGGUUGGUGGAAAGGCCACCUUCAAAAGGUCCUCUUGGAAAGGAGCGCUUUUGACUCUUAAGAACUCGAUCGGAUUGCUGAUGACUAGAGUGUCAGCCAGCUUCCGACGGAGGUCCUCUACGAAUCGUGUUGUAAGAGUCCUAUCAGUGCGACUCUUACUGGGUCCAGCUCUUAAUUUUUCUGGCUCUGGACCUUUCUUUUUCUCCGUAGUUGGAGAAUUGUGAGAAGCCGAUUUGGUAAGACAUGCCUUAUUACACCAGUCACUACCCAUCAACGCCUCUCAACAAGGACUAGGGCUCCGUCGCUAUGGCAGGACCCCCGGAGAGCUCCCACGGUGCGGAACACGUUCAUCGUCCAGAUCGCCGAGUUAGCCCGUAAAGUCGCCCGAUUGGACUACCAAGUCGCCGAGUUAAGGCAAGAUCGGCAGUAUGGUAGACUGUACGUCUUGGCCCUAGAAACUCGCCGAGUUAGCCCUUAACUAGGUGACUUCCAUACCUGAAUCGGCGACUUACGACCGUUACUCGGCGACAGCCAACGUCAUAAAUGUUACCAUAUAUGACCAUAGGCGCGAUCUCCGCCGAUGAGUGCGCCCUCCGAGACCCUAUAAAAGGGGUCCCAAGGGGACACUCAAAGGCACGAUUCAAGUUCCACUCUCACACCAGAGCACUACACUACGAAACUCGGCGAGUCUCAUUAGAAUCGCCUAGUUUCCACUUGCAGGUAUUUGACGUAGAGCGUGCGUCGUGGACUCCAAAGCCUCCGGCAUCAACCUCGCACCACUGCGAGCCCUGGUAGCAGAUUCAGUGCUUCAUCAGCUGACGCCGUCUGUGGGACUACCGAACCACCGGUAUCCCGUCGUAAUCGCGAUUUUUUAAAAAUCCGGCUCGAGCUCUCCCAAGAGUUCGCCGAGUUUGUCAAAAAAUCGCCUACUUAGAUCGUCCGAUUCUCGGUUAACGUCCGAUUUAGCCUUAAAUCGCCGACUUAUCCUUGAGAAUCGCCCGAUCCGGAAUAUCGUCUGCUAGCUAAGAGUGUUGUCCACGACCUUGUUCGGAAAAACCCCUAACUCGCCGAGUUAACACUUAACUCGCCGACUUAGCUCUUGUUUUCCCAACAGGCUCAGUCAGGUACCUCUCUGCUUUGGUACUUCCUCGCUUUCGCUUUCAUGGCAAUCAUCGAAAAGCAGAAGCACCCUUACGCCACAAGAAGUAAGGGGAAAAUGCCAGCAACUGAGCUGGAACAGGGUGAGCAAUCCCGACCUAAGGGACCCAUCAAUGCUCAACCUGUGGAAACAAACUCGGUUCCUCCUCCUGUCGAGGAACACAUUAUGCCCAAGGCUCCACCCACCUUGGAAGAAAGGUUGUUCAGUUUCAUGGACAACAUUGAAAGAAGGAUGACUAACCUCGAGCAAGCGAGGAGUCAUAGGACCACCACCAUCCGUGAAAGAACGGACGAAUCUGGGUCCAUCUAUUCUCCAUCUGCGGAGAAAAAACAGAGUUCCCGUCCCAAGACGGGACCCAGUAAGAGUCGCUCCGAGAGGACUCUUACUACUCGGUUCGUAGAGGAUCUUCGGCGGAAGUUGGCCACCGACCCAGCCGUCGGCAACACGCACGAAAUCCUGAGGGUUAAAAGUCCUCCUCUUAGCGAGGACCUUUUAAAGGGAGUUUUCCCACCCAACUGGCGGGUACCAAGAAUCGAGGCAUACGACGGUUCAAGUGAUCCAGAAGAUCACGUGAACCUCUACCUCAACGUCUUGGAACCGUAAACCAUCGAUGAUGGGCUGCUGUGUCGGGCAUUCCCCGGCACUCUCAAAGGCAGCGCUUAUCGAUGGUUCUCUGGUCUGCCAGCUGGCUCAGUCACCAGCUUUGCAGACCUCUCAUCCAAGUUCAUCGCCCAACACGUGGGGAUGAUAAGGAUUAAACAUAGUGCCAACGCACUCCUGGCACUGAGACAGGACAAACUGUCUCUGAGGGACUAUACGGUCAAGUUCACCACAAUGAUGACAGAGGUGAACGACCUAAUCCCGAGUGUGGCCAUAGCGGGAUACAUUAGAGGAUUAGUCCCCUACUCCCCUCUGGCCCAAAAUCUGACUCUCUACAAGGUGAGUUCUCUGCCCGAACUCUUCCAACGCACUCAAUUGUACAUUGAGGUGGAAGAGGAGGACGAGAACAAGCUAGCUGAACUUGGGACUCCUAACUUCCAAAAGCCUAAGUUUGAGAGGAAGGGGUACAGUGGAAACAACAAUUUCCACGACACCUCCAACAAGUAUACCAGUAACAAGGCCGAGACUUCCAAAAAAGAAUGGAAGCCUAGGCAUGAUAACAAGAUAUACCAAGCCUCAACCAGCAAGCCAAAGGGUGUAAUUCCACUAUGGAAAAGAAACACCCCGCUUACUAUCAGAAAAGGCGAGCUGUUUGAGAAGCUAAAGAACCGAGCGGACCUACCUGUCCCUCGUUCUUUAGACCCUGCAGGCAAAGAGGGUUGCAUGCAAUCUGGGAAAUACUGUGAAUUUCAUAAAGACAGCGGCCACCUAACAGAUAACUGCAGGGAGUUCUCGUCUUUCGUCGAACAGUUGAUCUCAAAGGGAGAACUUGGCAACUUCGUCAAGAACUCCCGAGGACGGGACAACUGCAAAUCUGACACAAAGGGGAAGCGUCCGCGCUCUCCUUCGCCAGACACUGACAACAGCGAGAACCGCCAGCGGAAGACCAUCAAUAUGAUAUUUGGUGGUGGAUCCGUUGGCCAGAACAGGGGAUAUUCCCGAAAGGUGUUGAUGUCACAGUCAACACCUCGAGACAACGGAAAGCGGUAACAACUUGGAGCUAUCUUAAAAAGGAUACAUUAAAGAGUAACAAAAAUGAUAUUGGAUGGUUCUAUUCCAUUUCCAUCUUGAGAAAAGACAUAAUUGUGAUACAAUGUUCUUCAGAAGAUCGAGAAUACAACUUGUACGUCCCUGUUCUUUUAUUAUUUGGUUAUUUACAGUCUAUGGUUUCUAGUCCUUGAUAGAUGUUAGAUAUUUAAUAUUAUUUAUCUAAUAUAGGUUUUAUCUAUUUUUGUGGAUUUCUUUGUCGUUUUCUUUACAUGUCGAUUUUUAUUUAUUCUUAUUCUAUUAAUAGGUUAAUAAAUUCUUGUUCUAUUUGAAGAAGAGAGUUUCCCACCUCUUCCUCAGGUACGUACCUUCUCCAAGUUAUAAGGGACCUGAUGGAGGUCAUUGAAUUCUUAGUCUACCCUCCUCCAUUAUAGUCUGGGGCAUAGAUGGGCAGGAAGGGGAAUCAUCUUUAAAUGGAGGUGAUUGCCACCACUAAGUCAGACUUUAUCACAUUCCGGUGAUGGAUAUACACUUCCGAUGUUAUAAAAUCAUAUAUAAAAACCAACAUUGUCUCUGAUACCAAAUGAUAGAAAUUAUCAUACUUUAUUAUCUAUGAUUUUUAUAUCAAGAAUGUAAUGUACUUACAGAUUCAAACGCAACUUGUGUUGAAUCCAUUACAACGGAAGUACAUACUUGAUCUCUGUAUGUUUCUUUUGCCUUUCUUCUGAGAUUUUCUCUUUUUUGGGAUUCCUGAGACUUGUCUCUAUUGGAUGUCUUCUUUUGGACUAGUAGAAUAGACGAUGUUUCUUUAACCCUCAUAUCUUAUUUAUAUAAAAGCAAUGGGUUAUUUACACAUUGAUCCAUAUAUUGAUACUCCCACUUGAUCUACUACACAUAUAUUAACCUUUACUCAACCAUAUAAACAAUCUUUAAUGCAUGCUUUGUUUAUUUUUCUUUUUAAGUCUACACUCGGUCUCAUAAAGACAACAAUAAUAAAUCACAGCGUCACUAUGUCUAAAUGUGCAACAUAGAAACUUCUGUGUAUCACAUUACGUUCGUCUUUAUUAACAUUAGCUUCAUGUGGUAGUGCAGCAAACUGAAUGAUACUUUAUAUAUGUAUCAUUUUAUUGUCAGUCCUCUGUAAUCUAAUCCUUAUGGUGAGCCCAUACUCACACUAGACAUUAUUUAUGAUUCUCAUGAACCUUAAUCAAUUUAUGUAUCAUUUUUCUUCUUUAUUGUGAAAUACAUCACACAAAAAAAAAAUGUAUACCUACUAUAUUAUUUUCUCAUCUUUAUUGUAAAAACCAUCACAAAAGAAAAUUUUAACUUUAUAAUUUCAUUUUUAUUGUGAAAAUCAUCACAAGAGUAAAAUUUAACUUUAUAAUCUCAUCCUUAUUAUGAAAUUCAUCACCGGAGACCUUGUUUAAUUUCUUAAUUCAUUCUCACAAAUUAAUCAGAGUUAAAUAAGAAAUUGACAAAUCAUUUAUUAAAAUACAAUUAUUGAAGUUUUGAUAAUCUAAUAAAUAAAUUAAAUCUGAGUAUAAAUAAUAAUAAUAAAUUAUUACAAGAUUGAAAAUAUAAAAUAUUACAUAUGGAAAUAAAAUUACUUUCACUUAAACGAUGACAUCCCAAGAACCCAACAAACUCAUUGCUAAAAUAUGUGAAUUUAGUAUGUUAGGUUGUCCUUUAGUGAGUGGAUCAGCUAGCAUAUCAUUAGUACUAAUAUGACCGACUAUGAUAUCAUUUUCUCUACCUUUUUCUUUGAUUUUUAGAUACUUCAAUUUUAUAAACUUUGUAGACGUGACACUUUUGUUGUUGUUAAUACUCAACACUGUCGAAAGGUUAUCACAGUAUAUUUGAAUUGGUCUUUCAACAAAAUUGAAAACUUUCAAUUGUUGAAUGAAACUUUUUAACCAACUUGAUUGAAUUGAAACUCCAAAGCAUGAAAUAAAUUCAGCUUCCAUGGUUGAUGUGGCUAUUAACUUUUGUUUUUCACUUCUCCAAGAUACAGCACCACCUGCCAUUUUGAAGAUAUAACCAGAGGUUGACUUCUUUUCAUCUUUACAUCCAGCAAAAUCUGAGUCUAAAUAUCCAACUAGAUUCAAGUUUUCAACUCGAGUAUAUGUUAAUCUAUAAUUUCGAGUACCUUUUAAAUAUCUCAAAACUUUCAUCGCAACAACCCAAUGAUCCAAGCCUGGAUUAACUUGAUAUCUUCCUAAGAGUCCAACCAUAAAUACAAUAUCUGGUCUAGUGCAUACCUGAGCAUACAUUAGACUUCCAUAAAGAAAUGCUUUCAUUUCAUUCUUCUGCAAGUUUGUUAGAGGACAUUGAGCUAAAUUCAAUUUAUCACCUUUUACAAUUGAAGCAACACUUGACUUACAUUCUGAGAGAUUAAACCUUUGUAAUAUACGAUCGAUGUAAGCUGAUUGAACAAGACCUAACAAAUGUCUAGAUCGAUUUCUGUUGAUCUCAAUACCAAGAACAAAAGAUGCUUCACCCAAAUCUUUCAUAUCAAAUUCACUUGAUAAGAAUUUCUUUGUUUCAAAUAAUAUACUUAAAUCGUUGCAAGCAAGUAAUAUAUCAUCAACGUAUAGAACAAGCAAAACAUAUUUGCUCCCUCUGACCUUGUGAUAUAUACAUGGAUCCAUGAGAUUUUCCGAAAAACCAUAUGAAGAAAUGAUUUCAUGGAAUUUAAUAUGUCAUUGUCUUGAUGCUUGUUUAAGUCCAUAUAUAGACUUUUUAAGUCUAUAAACAAGCUUGUCAUUUUCUUCAAAACCUUGUGGUUGCGUCAUAUAUAUUUCUUCAUUGAGAUUCCCAUUAAGAAAAGCGGUUUUAACAUCCAUUUGAUGUAGUUCUAGAUUGUAGUGAGCCACUAAAGCCAUAAUGAUUCUAAAAGAAUUCUUCGAGGAAACUGGUGAAAAUGUUUCAUGAUAUUCAAUUCUCUCUCUUUGAGUGAAUCCUUUGGCAACCAAUCUAGCCUUAAACCGCUAAAUCUUUCCUCUGGAAUCUCAUUUGGUUUUAAAAGCCCAUUUGCAACUCACAACUUUAACACCCUCAGGUAACUGAAUAAGUUCUCAUUCUUUAUUAUGGUACAUAGACUGCAUCUCAUCUUUCAUUUCAUCUUGCCACAAAUCACAUUGUGCACUUGCAACCGCUUGAUCAUAUGAGAUAGGGUCAACUGUACUACUACAACCAAUGUCAUAGUCGUAUUCUCCUAAAUAAACUUCAUAAUCAUUAGGGAUAGCUGAUCUUCUUUCUCGUGUAGACCUCCUUGGUUCAAUAACUAGUGGAUCUGCCGGUGUAAUAAUUGGUUCAUCAACUUGAGCAAUAACUAGUGUGUCAACGGAUGUCACUGAAGAUGUGGUUGGUGUAAUCGAAAAUAAGGGUAUAACUACUGUUGAUGGUUGAUGGUCCAAUGAAUUAGAAACCUCUGAAGUAUUAACAUCUGCUACAUCAUUUUUUAAGAAUUUUGCUGUUCGAGAAUCUACAAUUAUUGUUCCACCAUGAGGUCUAUAAAAACGAUAUCCCUUAGAAUGAUUCGGAUAUCCCACAAAAUAGCAUGUCACUGUUCUUGAAUAUAACUUGUUUUAUGUUGGAUUGUAUAAUUUCACCCCUACAGGAUAACCCCAAAUCUUCAAAUGAUUUAAACUAGGUUUUCUACCUGUCCAAAGUUCAAAAGGUGUAACUAGUACUGACUUACUUGGGACUCGAUUCAAAAUAUACAAUGCUGCUUGUAUUGCUUCACCCCACAAGAAUGUUGGUAAAUUUGCUCUACUAGUCAUGUUUCUCACCAUAUCCAUUAGGGUACGAUUUCUUCUUUCUGCCGCUCCAUUCUGCUCAGGAGUUCCUGACAUAGUGUAUUGCCCAAUUAUUCCAUAUUCUUCCAAAUAUUGUGCAAAAGGACCUUUAAGUUGUCCAACAUCUCCAUGUUUACCGUAAUAUUCUCCACCUCUAUCUAUCUGAUCUAACAAUCUUUAUAGAUUUUUCCAAUUGUUUCUCAACUUCUGUUUUGAAUACUUUAAAUUUCUCUAAAGAUUCAUAUUUUUCUUUGAUAAGAAACAAAUGGCCAUAUUUAGAAAAAUCAUCUAUAAAUGUUAUAAAAUAUAAGCAUCCACACAAAGUUUUAUGAUAUGGUCCACUAAUAUCCGUAUAAAUAAUCUCCAAAAGACUAGUGUUACGAGUAGCAGUCUUUUUCCCUUUCUUGGUCAUUUUCCUCUUAAGACAAUCAAUACAUUCUGCAUGGUCAUUAUCUAAAGAAGGAAGAAUGGUCGAUUUAACCAAUCUUUUAAUUCUAUCUUGUGAAAUAUGAUCUAACCUUUUAUGCCAUAAUAUAUAUGAUUUUUCUUUAUUUAAGGGUCUUUUGGAAACUGUAUUUUCCACAUUAUAAGCUAUAUAGAUCUUCAUAGAAUCAAGACAUAAUCUGUAUAGGUCAUAAGACAAAACACAAUUACCCAUAAUCUUUGAGUUAAGAAACAUUGAAACUGUAUUGUUCUUAAAUUCAAAAGAAAAACCAUGUUUGCUUAAUUUACUAACAGAAAUUAGAUUCCGUCUAAACGACGGAACAUACAAAGUGUCUUUCAAUGUUAAACCAAAUCCUAAAUCUAGAUUUAAAAUAACAUCGCCCACAAAUUCUACAUCAGUUUGUCCAUCAUUUCCUACGAACAAUCUUGAUUCAUCCUGAUUUGGCUUCCUUCUAUUUGUGAAUCCCUGUAUGGUGAAUGCAACAUGAUUAGUUGCUCCACUAUCCAACCACCAAGAACUAGAUGAAGAUUCUAUUAAAUUAGAUUCAUAAACUAAUGUCAAAGAAUCAAUACCUUUUUGUUCCUGUUUUAUGAGCCAAGAUUUAUACUUUAAGCAAUUCUUCUUUAUGUGUCCCGGUUUCUUACAGAAGAAACAUCCAUUAAUUGCUUUCUUGAGGGAGUUCUUGUUAGGACCAAAUUUGUCAGAUAAGUUGGUAUCCUUAGAAUCUUUAUUUUUCACAAACUUUUUGAACUUAAAUCCUUUCUUAUUUGAACUAUACAUUGUUAUCGAAAAUUUUUCGCCUUUUAUUUUAUCCCCCAUUUCUCCAAAUAAUUAUUUCUUUUAAUUCGAGCCCAGGCUCGCCGGUUCGAGCCCGGGCCCGAGCCUGACAAUUCUUAAAAUGAGCCGAGCCUGAGCCUGGCUCUAUAAGCAAAAGCUCGACUUGUUUGACACCUUAAUCUCAGAUAAAUAUUCCGAGAAUAUUUUGCCACUUAUCUUCAAAUUCUGAAGUUUUUUGGCGUAGACUCAUCACAUGCGAUCGAGAAUUAGAUGCAAAUUGCAUUUGAAAUGUUUCUCAUACCUCAUGUGUCGUAGCACAAUCAGAGACUUCCGACAGUACCGAGAGUGAAAUUGAUGAAAAUAGCCAUCCUAAAAUCAAUUGAUCUUGCUUGAUGGCAAGAGAGUUGUCCAAUUUUUCCCUACCGGCCAGAUAGUCCAUCAGCUCAUGACCUCGGAUAUUAGCCCCAAAUUGGGCUCUCCACGCGAAGUAGUUGCUGCGGUCUAGGGCUACAGUCUUGAAGUUCUUGGCGGUCACCUUUCCUGGUGCAUCGUUGCCAUAGAGCUUCUUUGCAGCCAGCGAAAUCCCUUUGUCAGCUUCGUCAAUCGACAUUGCGUAUCGGAAAAAAAUUGUGAUCGUCAACGAUUUUGGAGCGAUUCCGAUGAUCAGAGAUGUGCGGCUUCCCAAGAUCAGCUAAGCGAAAGAUACCAUAACAGUGAAUUGAAAUAUAUGAAUGGGGAAAGCCAAACUCGAUCCUUUUCAUAUUCAAUAGUAAGAUCUAUUUAUACAAUUUGUUACUCUAAUAUCCUAUUUGUUUGUUCUUUUGUAUUAUCGAUAUUUAUUGUCUAUUUUUUAUAAUGUUCUUGUCUAUUUUUAUAUUUACAGUCUAUGGUUUUUAGUCCUUGAUACUUGAUAGAUAUUUGAUAUCUAUUAUAUAUUUUAUCUAUUUUUGUGGUUUCUUUGUCGUUUUCUUUAUUGAUUUUUAUUCAUUCUUGUUCUAUUAAUAGGUUACCAAAUUCUUGUUCUAUUUGAAGAAGAGAGUUUCCCAUCUCUUGCUCGGGUACCUUCUCCAAGUUAUAAGGAACCAGAUGGAGGCCAUUGAAUUGUUAGUCUACCUUCCUCCAUUGGAGUCUGAGGCAUAGAUGGACCGAAAGUGGAAUCAUCUAGCUUUAGAUGGGGGAGGAGAGCACGACUUGUGCUAGAACUUCUUCAAGAAAUUUGACAAAUUUACGCUUCUCAACCUUACUCAUGGCUCUCGCGUCUUGAUGUUACAAGAGUUGCUCGUGGAGGGUACGUAAGGCUAUCCCCAACUGAAUCUUUGACUGGGGGAAAGAUGAUUCCGUCAGGGAAUUUGAUGUAAAAAUUCGAAAAACAAACAUAUAACAUUAUUAUUAGAGGAAACGUUUCAAAUAAAAUAUUUAAAAUAAUAUAUAUUUUGUGAAAUAUUAAUUUAGAACGUUCAUUUAUUUUAAAUUAAAUUAAACACAUCUUAAGGUAGAUCAUAUCAUUUAAUUAGUGGAAUGUUUUAGAGA
Molecule: long non-coding RNA, 31362 nt
Filed under: Zostera marina
Lineage: Eukaryota; Viridiplantae; Streptophyta; Magnoliopsida; Alismatales; Zosteraceae
Description: long non-coding RNA (ZMAR_LNC001659)
Source: RNAcentral